UGGGGAAUAUUGGGCAAUGGACGCAAGUCUGACCCAGCAACGCCGCGUGAAGGAAGAAGGCUUUCGGGUUGUAAACUUCUUUUAGCAGGGAAGAGUAGAAGACGGUACCUGUUGAAUAAGCCACGGCUAACUACGUGCCAGCAGCCGCGGUAAUACGUAGGGUGCGAGCGUUAAUCAGAAUCACUGGGCGUAAAGCGCACGUAGGCGGCGUGGUAAGUCGGGGGUGAAAUCCCACAGCUCAACUGUGGAACUGCCUUCGAUACUGCCAUGCUUGAGUGUCGGAGAGGGUGGCGGAAUUCCGGGUGUAGGAGUGAAAUCCGUAGAUAUCCGGAGGAACACCGGUGGCGAAGGCGGCCACCUGGACGAAAACUGACGCUGAGGUGCGAAAGCGUGGGUAGCAAACA
This 404-nucleotide ribosomal RNA is filed under the name uncultured bacterium. RNAcentral's name for it is "bacterial SSU rRNA". It matches the Rfam family "Bacterial small subunit ribosomal RNA", at positions 355 to 774 of the family's 1533-position model. The record is from RNAcentral.